Long non-coding RNA from Neodiprion fabricii, 140 nucleotides. RefSeq lists it as uncharacterized. NCBI's taxonomy places the organism in Eukaryota, Metazoa, Arthropoda, Insecta, Hymenoptera, Diprionidae. The transcript is spliced from 4 exons. The record is from RefSeq and is a predicted model, not a curated record.
GCGAGUCAUUGUAUCCAAAAAAAAUCUCUGGAAUUUCACACGUUGACGGUUCUCACUUCCGCGUAAUCUUGCUGCGCAUCAUUUUGUCCGCAAGCACUGGGUCAAUCAAUUGAGAGACAUCUCGAGAUCCUGACACGCCG